RNAcentral lists this ribosomal RNA (254 nucleotides) under uncultured bacterium. RNAcentral's name for it is "partial 16S ribosomal RNA". It matches the Rfam family "Bacterial small subunit ribosomal RNA", at positions 524 to 776 of the family's 1533-position model. The record is from RNAcentral.
UACGGGGGGAGCAAGCGUUGUUCGGAUUUACUGGGCGUAAAGGGCGCGUAGGCGGCCAGCACAAGUCAGUUGUGAAAUCUCCGGGCUUAACUCGGAAAGGUCAACUGAUACUGUGCGGCUAGAGUGCAGAAGGGGCAACUGGAAUUCUCGGUGUAGCGGUGAAAUGCGUAGAUAUCAGGAGGAACACCGGCGGUGUAGACGGCUUUCUGGACCGUAGCUGACGCUGAGACACGAAAGCGUGGGUAGCAAACAGG